This 71-nucleotide transfer RNA is filed under the name Salmo salar (Atlantic salmon). It matches the Rfam family "tRNA". From Rfam's summary of the family: Transfer RNA (tRNA) molecules are approximately 80 nucleotides in length. Their secondary structure includes four short double-helical elements and three loops (D, anti-codon, and T loops). The record is from Rfam by way of RNAcentral. Lineage: Eukaryota; Metazoa; Chordata; Actinopteri; Salmoniformes; Salmonidae.
UCCCGUGUGGCUCAGUUGGUAGAGCAUGGUGUUUGCAACGCCAGGGUUGUGGGUUCGUCUUCCCACGGGGC